This 427-nucleotide ribosomal RNA is filed under the name uncultured bacterium. RNAcentral describes it as "partial 16S ribosomal RNA". It matches the Rfam family "Bacterial small subunit ribosomal RNA", at positions 354 to 796 of the family's 1533-position model. The record is from RNAcentral.
GUGGGGAAUAUUGGGCAAUGGGGGAAACCCUGACCCAGCGACGCCGCGUGAGGGAAGAAGGCCUUAGGGUCGUAAACCUCUGUUGUGUGGGAAGAAGAGCGUGACGGUACCACACGAGGAAGUCCCGGCUAACUACGUGCCAGCAGCCGCGGUAAUACGUAGGGGACGAGCGUUGUCCGAAUUUACUGGGCGUAAAGGGCGCGUAGGCGGUCAUUUAAGUCAGCUGUGAAAUGGUUUGGCUUAACCGGAUCAUGCGGUUGAAACUGGAUGACUGGAGUGCUGGAGAGGCAAGUGGAAUUCCCAGUGUAGCGGUGAAAUGCGUAGAUAUUGGGAAGAACACCGGUGGCGAAGGCGACUUGCUGGCCAGCAACUGACGCUGAGGCGCGAAAGCCAGGGGAGCAAACGGGAUUAGAUACCCGGGUAGUCC